RNAcentral lists this long non-coding RNA (4082 nucleotides) under Olea europaea subsp. europaea. Lineage: Eukaryota; Viridiplantae; Streptophyta; Magnoliopsida; Lamiales; Oleaceae. The record is from RNAcentral.
CCCCUCUCAAAAUCGAUCUGGUCAAAACCAGUACGCUAAGCAGGCCCUAAAUGAAACAUUUGACUCAGAAAUCCAUUUACCGUAAAAUUUGAUCCCAUUUUCCCAUCCAGAAAUUACCUUUCUCAAUUUUGCUGCUUUUACAAAUCUGAUAUGGCGUCACCGUCUGAUCCAUCCAAACAGUAAGUGCUUUCGAAAGCUUUCUAGAUCUUCGUUUCGUUUUUGAAUUGAAUUGUAUUGAAUGUUAUUAAAGGAACGUUGUAAGGAAGCAAAACAAAGGUGCCCCGAUCAAAUUCUUGGUUCCUCUAAUAUAUGCACCAGUUCUUCCUCUUAGUAAGAUUUUUUCCCCGUCAAAGAUAUUUUCAUUUAAUUUUAAUUGUCGAUACGCUAUACUUUUCCAGUAUGUGAUUUGUUUAGUGAAUAUCAAUUAAUUAGUGUACUUUCCGAACAGUUCGGCUAACGCUCCGCCACAGGCCGGUUUUGAGGGAUCGAUUAUUUACUGGGGUUCUGGCUGGAGCCUUCGCUCAUGGGUUAUACUUGGUGUAUCCUUUUUUCAUUAAUAAGUUGAUGUAAUUUUUAGCGCCUUUAUGUUUUUGCCUGCUUUUAUUUCCUUCAUCGUGCAUCAUGGGUGACUUUGGAUUCACUGAUAAGUGGUUAGGGUUUUCCAACAAUUGUAGGAUCAAAGUUUUAAUCUAUUGGGCAACAUUUGAAUGCCUGUAACUAAAUGUAGAGCUAAAACUUGGGGUCUUGGACUCUUACUUGGUGUGACGGUGCAAAAAGUAGAUGGGGAAGGUGGAUUGGAUUCUAGACAAUCAGCUGUUCUGAUGGUGUAAUCUUUCUCCUUUUUUACAACUAGAUGCUAGUAUACCAUUCAAAACCGUUGUAAUAUCAAUCAUGGAAUUCCCAACUUAGCAAAUUUUCUCAUUUCAUAAUAUAUACACGCAACAUUUUCCCUUCAGUGCAAUCACAUUGGUUUUUCCUAAGGGCGGAAGGCCUUAAGCUCCGGUGAAAUCCCUGUAUCAAUAACCAUUGAAGGUUAUAGAAUAAAUACAGGUAAAAGAGAUAAUAUUUUUGCUUUGACACACAGCUGAUGUAGAAGUUCAGAUCAGUGCUCUAAGUAAUCUCAUACGAUGUAUAGCCAAGAUGUGAUAUAUAGGUUGGAGAUACAAUGUAGAUAAAAAGGGUCUACAUAUGUGGAGAACUGCUGACAAUGCCAUCGAACUUAGAAUGUAUAUAAAGGAAAGAGAGAACUGCUGAAUGGUAGGUGAGAGCGGUAAUACACGGGAAAUUGGUAUUAUUUAAGUUGAUUAUGAAAGAUACGGAGGAAAGAUCUUCAUUUAUUAAUAUUAAUUUUUGGAAAAGGAAAUUCUGAAUUUUGCCAAGGAUAAAAGCAUGACAUGCUACUGUGCCGUCAUGUUAAUUUUGCUCUACCUCCUGUUUUGCCGACCUAUUUUACUAAAAUGGUAUUUCCCUUAUGAAUGAGGGGUUAUUCAGACCUUUGCAUUACAUGCUUCAACCAGCUACAUUGCACAUCCCUAAUUUACUCCAGUUUGUGUCAUCUGCAUCCUUUGGUCUAUAUUUUCUUUGCUCUCCUUAUCUAUUCUAGCAUGACUGCACAUUCAUUUGAACAUCUUCAUUUGUGCUAUGUUAGUCUUGUGAAAAUUUUCUCCUUUAAGGACCAACAUUUUUCUUAUGUAGCAUAGACGGUGUAUAACCGUUGUUUAGAACGUGCCUUUUUUUAACAUUAGAGAUUUCUCCAUAUCACAAACUUUCUGCAGUAUAUAUUCAUUUCAUACAACCUGCAGUAAACGUAUGCAUGGCAUCAUCCUCGAGUUGUCAUUCCUUGUUAAUUAUUGAACUUGAGAAACUUCCAAUCACUGUAAAUGACCACAAAAGGUCAAUUUAAGGAAAAAGCAGGACCUGUGGUCUAUUGAUAUUAUCCUUGCCACCAUUGUUGAGAAGGUAAAGCUCCUGUUUGGUUUAGCUAAAAAAUAUAUCUUUAGUAUAUGAUAAAAGUUGAUGAAAUGUGUGAUUGAAAAGUUGAUGAAAGUCGUGGGUUCCAUGAAAUGUGUGGUUAAAAAUAUGUUUGAGAAAAAAUUAGUUUUAGAAAAUGGGGGCCAAAAUAAAAGUCAAUAAUUUUAUUCUGCUUUCGAAACCUUAACUAGUUUUUAGUAAAGUUUAUCUUCACUUCGACAUUCUUUUGUUUUGAGAAACGCCUUGUUUCUUGAAAUGUAAUCCACAUUGUUUUCUUGGGCAUACAUAGCCUAUAUGUUGCCUAACUAGUUAAUUGCUGUUUUGUCGCAAAGUUGAUUUUUAAGUGGAAAAUGGGUUUAUAACUAUGAUGCACGAUGAUGAUACAUUACAUGACCUUGUUUGUGAGUUUUAGCUUACUUGGAAACAAUGGACCUGUUACUUUGAUAAAGUUGAAAUCAUUUUUCUUGUACUUCUAUUAUUUAUAUCUAGACUUUUAAGUCACCCCUAGAGCUGUUUCCUCUUCUGUUUACUUCAUGCUUCUAACUUGAUCUCUUCAGAUGAAUAUCCGCUUCUUGAGCAUUUCUUACCCAAUAAAGACAUAUAUUUUAUUAAGGUUGCUUUCGGGGCAAUUCUUUUUCUUGACCUGCUCUCUUUGGUAAACUUCCAAACGUGUCACAGUAUUUUUAAUCUUACUUCUACCUGUAGCUUUUGAAGUACACCGAUACUUGAUUUUUGGUUCACACAGUCCAAACUUCAAAGGUCAUUUUCUUACAUGCGAGAACCUAUUUGCUUAACGAAUAUGUCAGAAGGGGGAUGUAUACACUAUGUAACUAGCUCAUAACUCAAUUAUUAGCUCAUUAACGGAUGACUAAUAUGUCUUAGUGAAGUGCUGGGCUCUAGGGACUUCUUUCAUCACAGAAGUGCCACUAUUAUCGCAUUCUUUGGUUUUUGAAUAUUCAAAUGCAUGACUUCCUGACAUGGAGUUAUAUAUGGAUUCAAAUGAAUAAUAAUCACAACUUUUAGGAGUUCUCCUUGAUUUUGUGUUACCAAACACCAUAGGUCUCUGUACAGAAUUCACAUUCAAAUUUAUUAUACCAAAAUCAGUCUUGAAUGUUUCUUCUCUUGCUAAUUUCCCAAAUGAUCAUUAUCCAUCUGAAAUAAGUGCAUAUCAUACACAAUUCACCAGGAUGGUUUUCAUGAUUUUAUCUAUUAUAGCACAUCUAACUUAAUGACAUUAUCAAGUUACUUCAAGGUUCUAAUGAAAAUUGUGGUAUUUUGGAGUGUUGUCAAAGUGGUACUGGCGUCAGCAUUAAUACAACACGAGGAAGAAGUAUAGCAAAAAGAAAAUGAAAUUUAAUUGUCAAUGUUUAAGUAGUGUUCUCUAUCUUCUGCAAGCAAAAUCAUUCUCUCAAUGGUUGGCCACUUUCUGCUAGAGUCAUAGUAAUCUGCACUUGAAGAUUCCAUUUAGAAAUAUCGUUACUGAAAAUUUACUUGGAAUUGAGUUCGACAAAUUGCUUGCCUCUUUUUCAAUUUUAUGCCUGAAGUAAUCAUUUUUUUAUAGCCACCAUGGAACAUCGCGCUCCAUCUUACAUACAACAAUUUGAAUUGUUCGUCGUGGAAUCUUGUUCCUUGUAAAUGCUUGUUGGUUCUUUUGUUAUUUUUUCCUUACAGAUAUGUUUAGAACAGAUAUAUAUGACAUUGAAAGCAAGUGAAUUGGCUGAAGAAGCAUUUUCAUGAUUCUACAUCUUGUAUGGAUGGCUUAAACGUUUAUCAACUUUGGUAAACAAAUUAUUUGCUCUUGUUAUGAACACGGGGUUCUAAUUCCUCUCUCGUGGUGGAUUUCCUUUUGUUAAGAUUGUUAUAUGUGAUUGCUGAAAAUUCAGUAGUUUUAGUUUAGUUUAUAAGUUUGAGGGAGCAUAAUUAAUUAAGUAAAUUUGUUCGAGCGGAAACCUUUUAUUAGAAUUUACUGCUUACAAUUUCAGUUUGAAAAAUGAUUAUUGAAUGUGGACCAGAUAAAUAUGCCUUAAGAACAAAAAGGUGUUGAUAAAGCAGCCUGAGCAUCUUGCCUUAUCUACUAUAAUUAUUAGGAUAUCAUUUUUAUUGAAUAGAUG